AAAAUUUCAUCACUCACUUAACUUUGCUCUCUGUCACGUUAUAGUCACUGAACUUUAGUUUGCUGCUCAACGGUCAUUGAACUUACAAAUGAACCGCUCCAUCCAUUACCUAGCCAUCCGGCCGUUUGAACAAGUCUCACGUGGCUUGACGGCAACCGGUGUGGCAAGAGACGGCCUCAAUCUCAGCCACGGUGGACGCGAUUUCACAGCUAAAAACACGAUAAUUCAUCUCAUAAUUUCACAAUCCAUAUUCUGCCAUCCCCAAUUCGAAAUCCAAACCCUAGCCCCAAAUCAAUUUCCUGCAAAAUCCUCCCCAGAUCGAUUCUUCCACAACAACACUUUUUUUUUCUCAGAUUAGUUGUAUCUUUGGAGUGCAUUUUAUCAUUUUUCCCGUGAUUUGUGGAAGCGUAGGGGCAUCGAAGAGAUGUCUAGUUUUGGGGGAGUUAUUGUGUCCGAUCAAUGGCUUUAGAGUUAGUUUACGCAAGUCGAACUUCGGAGCCUCAAAUCCAAAGUAACUUCCAUUUAAUAAUUUUUUUUCUUAUUUGUUUUUUGGUGCUAUUGUUGAAUCGUGUGGUGAAAUAAAUUUGCUUUCACAAUGAGAAUUUUGGAACUUGUUUUUGGGCAUUGUUGUGUACUUAAUUGAUGUUUGAAGUGUGGGGUUCAUGUCAUUGUUCUUGUUCUUGUCAUUGUUUUUAUUGUUUUUAGUUCAUAUCUAUAAAGAAUCAGAAUGGCAAAGUUACAUUUGGGGAUUUACCACCUUUGAUGGCAAAACUAAAGGUAUACAACGACAAGUUCAACGAGGAGGAGAUCAGGAGAGUGUUGGAAGAAGAGUGGUUCUAGCUAUACUAUGACUGUGGUGGAGAGGAAUUGUAAUGACAGUGAUGAAAAUUUAUAUUAACUUGUACUAGGAUUCUGAUGGGCUUUUGGUAACUACAUUUUUGGCACUUUGGAUGAGCAGAUGUAUUUGGAUUUACAAAUUUGAGCUACUGCCAAAGUGGGGUGUUCACGAAAUAUUUCUUUCGAUUUAAAACCUCCGUAAAGUGGGGAAAGGAAAGGGAAUAGUUGAUUGAAUUUGUUCUAACAAUUUGACGGAGUCAAAUUAAGUGCAUUGUAAGAGUUUGUUGUAAGACAUUUGUUGUUUAUCAAUUUUAAAGUUUAUCAUCCAAUUUAUGCUUGUAGUAAAAAGUAUCCCGGUAUGUGUGGUUUUCGUUCUUGAAUUAUCCUUGUGACACUUUUGGUAUACAUAUGUUUGCUUUCAUAAUUAGCAGAACCCACUGGCCAAUAUCUAAUAUCUGCAUCUUGAUCCUUAGUGAACAUCAUCAGAAUCAGAACCUUCUCUCCAG
Molecule: long non-coding RNA, 1343 nt
Filed under: Olea europaea subsp. europaea
Lineage: Eukaryota; Viridiplantae; Streptophyta; Magnoliopsida; Lamiales; Oleaceae
Source: RNAcentral